RNAcentral lists this ribosomal RNA (253 nucleotides) under uncultured bacterium. RNAcentral describes it as "partial 16S ribosomal RNA". It matches the Rfam family "Bacterial small subunit ribosomal RNA", at positions 524 to 776 of the family's 1533-position model. The record is from RNAcentral.
AACGUAGGAGGCAAGCGUUAUCCGGAGUGACUGGGCGUAAAGCGCACGCAGGCGGAUGCGCGCGUGGGGUGUGAAAUCUGGCCGCUUAACGGCCAGGCGCCAUCCCAUACGGCGCGUCUGGAGUGAUGCAGAGGUCGAUGGAAUUGCCGGUGUAGUGGUGAAAUGCGUAGAGAUCGGCAGGAACACCCAGGGGGAAACCAGCCGACUGGGCAUCUACUGACGCUGAGGUGCGAGAGCGUGGGGAGCGAACCGG